Molecule: transfer RNA, 73 nt
Filed under: Mediterraneibacter faecis
Lineage: Bacteria; Bacillati; Bacillota; Clostridia; Lachnospirales; Lachnospiraceae
Also listed under: 1 other name
Description: tRNA-Trp
Rfam family: tRNA
About the family: Transfer RNA (tRNA) molecules are approximately 80 nucleotides in length. Their secondary structure includes four short double-helical elements and three loops (D, anti-codon, and T loops).
Source: RNAcentral
AGAUCGUUAAUGUAAUUGGCUAACAUGACAGUCUCCAAAACUGUUUAUUUAGGUUCGAGUCCUAAACGGUCUG